GUGACAACGCUGGAUCGGAUCCUGAACCACUUGGCCACCAGGGAAUACCUGCUUUGUGUUUUAUAUGCUAUUACAGAAAGUACACAGAUUUGCAAAAAAAUCAGAAUUUCAAUUCCAAUAAGAAGUCCUUAUUUUAAUCAAUCAAAGGCACAGACAGUGACCAAGCAAACCAAUACUCGAGGAUUAUGACUCUGAAAGGAAUUGGGGGAUCCAAACCUAACGGGGGUCCAGCUGGAGAAGGAAGUGGGAUGGAAUCCAGGUCUCCUCACACACAAGGGUUCAUUUGGCCCAAGGUCUUUUUAUUGAGUUCGAUAAUUUCAGUUCCGUAAUUCUUCACAUAACAACUACAUUAGAAGAAAUUAACUUACUGGACUGUUGGAUUAAUUUGUAGUGGUUGGACUGUUUAAGAUUAUAUGUAACUUGCUUUUCUCUUUUCUUGUUUUGGUACU
This is a long non-coding RNA of Phacochoerus africanus (Common warthog), 449 nucleotides long. RefSeq lists it as uncharacterized. The record is from RefSeq and is a predicted model, not a curated record. Lineage: Eukaryota; Metazoa; Chordata; Mammalia; Artiodactyla; Suidae. The transcript is spliced from 3 exons.